UAGGGAAUCUUCCACAAUGGACGCAAGUCCGAUGGAGCAACGCCGCGUGAGUGAAGAAGGGUUUCGGCUCGUAAAGCUCUGUUGUAAGAGAAGAACGUGUGUGAGAGUGGAAAGUUCACACAGUGACGGUAACUUACCAGAAAGGGACGGCUAACUACGUGCCAG
This 165-nucleotide ribosomal RNA is filed under the name uncultured bacterium. RNAcentral describes it as "partial 16S rRNA". It matches the Rfam family "Bacterial small subunit ribosomal RNA", at positions 355 to 511 of the family's 1533-position model. The record is from RNAcentral.